CAUUGGACAAUGUUUAGUUUUUGUGGUUUGGUCUAUUUUUCGGAUACUGUAAGCAAUAAGGCCCCUAUAUUUGGUGAAUGGAAUGAUUGUAAGAUGCACAUAUCUGUCUGGCAUGUUUUAUAUGACCUUAACCUCAUUUUCAUGGUUCAUUGGUCAAUGAAAAGUUUGCAUUGUUUUGUCAGUUUAUCAUAUGCUUUAAGCAACAGGUAAAUUAUAUUUGGCGGAUGUAACGAUUGUAAGGUGUGCAUGUCUGUCUGGCAGAUUCAUAUAACCAUGACCGUAUUUUAUGGUUCUUUGGUCAAUGCUAAGUUUUCUUGGUUUUUUCUUUUUAUCAGAUAUUAUAAGCAUAUGUCUACUUGUAAGUGUAUGGAAUGACUGCAAGGUGUCAUAUAAAAAUAAGAAGUUGUCUGUCUGCCAAGGUUAAUAUUACUGUGACCUCAUUUUCAUAGAAUAUUGAUAAUAUUAAACAAAAAAAAUGAUGAGCAUGACAAGAUAUACAAAUGAUCCAAAAUUGUCAGUUGCCUACUAAUUAUGUAAUAGUAGUUAUUGUCAUUAAAUGAUAAUGUUUACCCUUUUAUGUGUAGGGCAAGAACAUUAAAGAUAAAGGGAAACUAUAAACAAAAGAGAUUAUCAACAAAAAUAGAUUUACAGACGUCAACAAAGCCUAAAUGGUCAGACAUCUUGGUUUUCAUGAUCAUCAUUCAACAGGUCAAUACUGAACUGAAAACUUAAAGUUGAUAUUGUUCUACAUAGUGUGACUUUUUUAUUAAUUUGAAAUAGAAUGUGUUUUUUUCCUACAUAAGAAAGAGGAAAUUUCAACAUAAUGACUAUAAACAAAAAGGAGUCAUAUUAUCAUGAUCAUAGAUGAACAAGAACUAAAUCAUGUAAAUGCAACAACGUAAUUAUCAAUUGAAAGAAUGGAGGAAUGAAAAAAUAUAUUUGUAUUUUGUUGUCCAAAUGAACUUGCUUUGUCCACUCAUUUAAAUCGCUCCAUCCAAUAAAGAUGUACGGAGGAAGAUUUUUGAAGAACAGAUUGCAAAAAUGUUUUGUCUAAGAAUUGUAGGAAUAUUCUAGUGGAUGAAAUAAUUUGUUUACUUGACUCUUAUAUAGUGGACUGAAUAAUUGUACAUAGCAAGCUGAAACAAGAAAACUAAAACUUAACAGGAAAAGUGUUUAUUUUAUAAAUUUGCAAAUAUAAACGUAAUAUUAUGAACACCACAAAGGUAUAAGAUUCAAAUCGUUUGCAUAUUCAUGUAUUGCAAAGGAACUAUAACAAAGAAAACUUUACCUCAUUAAAAGAGUAAACUAUUAA
This is a long non-coding RNA of Mytilus californianus (California mussel), 1312 nucleotides long. RefSeq lists it as uncharacterized. The record is from RefSeq and is a predicted model, not a curated record. The transcript is spliced from 2 exons. NCBI's taxonomy places the organism in Eukaryota, Metazoa, Mollusca, Bivalvia, Mytilida, Mytilidae.